This 492-nucleotide ribosomal RNA is filed under the name uncultured bacterium. RNAcentral describes it as "partial 16S ribosomal RNA". It matches the Rfam family "Bacterial small subunit ribosomal RNA", at positions 29 to 507 of the family's 1533-position model. The record is from RNAcentral.
AGUGAACGCUGGCGGUAGGCCUAACACAUGCAAGUCGAACGGCAGCACAGUAAGAGCUUGCUCUUACGGGUGGCGAGUGGCGGACGGGUGAGGAAUACAUCGGAAUCUACUUUUUCGUGGGGGGUAACGUAGGGAAACUUACGCUAAUACCGCAUACGACCUACGGGUGAAAGCUGGGGAUCUUCGGACCUUGCGCGAUUGAAUGAGCCGAUGUCGGAUUAGCUAGUUGGCGGGGUAAAGGCCCACCAAGGCGACGAUCCGUAGCUGGUCUGAGCGGAUGAUCAGCCACACUGGUACUGAGACACGGUCCCGACUCCUACGGGAGGCAGCAGUGGGGAAUGUGGGACAAUGGGCGCAAGCCUGAUCCAGCCAUACCGCGUGGGUGAAGAAGGCCUUCGGGUUGUAAAGCUCUUUUGUUGGGAAAGAAAAGCAGCAGGUUAAUACCGCGCUGUUCUGACGGUACCCAAAGAAUAAGCACCGGCUAACUUCGUG